RNA transcript from Cucurbita moschata (crookneck pumpkin), 3100 nucleotides. It is a transcript of the gene named protein NUCLEAR FUSION DEFECTIVE 4-like, with no coding region annotated. The transcript has 3 exons. The record is from RefSeq and is a predicted model, not a curated record. Lineage: Eukaryota; Viridiplantae; Streptophyta; Magnoliopsida; Cucurbitales; Cucurbitaceae.
CAAUUACAGUCCGUUGAAAAAAAAAAGAUAUGGGAGAGACAAAAAAGGAAAAAGAAUAAUCAGAAUAGACAAAUGAUUUUACACACUAAUUUCAUCCCGAUUCCCACCAACGCGGGAAAUUAUGGUUAACCCAUUUCUUGAUGGAAUCGGAUAAUUCCCAAUCGAUUGGGACUAUGAGUCCACAGGAAACUUCGCCAUUACUGAAAACUCAAGACAGGUGUGAGCAAGGCGAAGACGAUCUAGGCAGAAUUAAAGUGGAUUAGGGAGUUCGAGAGAUUCAUAAGCUUCACUCGAUGAAUAGAUAGGGGAAGAGAAAGAGGAAGAGGGCCAGGCAAAUUCAAUUCAACGGAUUGGAAAUGGAGAUUUCCGGUUUCAAUAACAAAUGGGUAUCAACAGUAGCCAGCGUAUGGAUUCAGUGCACCAGUGGGUCUCUCUACACCUUCUCCAUCUACUCGCAAACCCUCAAGUCAACUCAGGGUUACGAUCAGUCCACUUUGGAUAUCGUUUCUGUCUUCAAAGACAUCGGUGUCAAUUGCGGCGUCCUCGCGGGCUUUCUCUACUACUAUGCCACCGCUGAUGGUGGUGGUAGUCGGCCGUGGAUUGUUCAUUUAGCCGGUGCAAUUCAGUGCUUCUUGGGUUAUUUCCUUAUGUGGGCUGCCGUUGCUGGCGUCUUUCCUCGCCCGCCGCUUCCCGCUAUGUGCUUUUUCAUGUUGGUGGCUGCUCAUGCUCAAAGCUUCUUCAACACGGCUAACGUUGUAACUGGCGUUCGGAAUUUCCCCAGUUAUAGUGGGACGAUUGUCGGAAUCAUGAAGGGGUUUCUUGGUUUGAGUGGAGCAAUAUUGAUUCAAGUAUACGAGACAAUAUUUAAUGAACAACCUACUUCGUUUCUUCUAAUGCUGGCACUGCUUCCGACCCUUAAUUCCUUAUUGUUCAUGUGGUUUGUGAGAAUUCACAAUGCAGACGAUGAAGUUGAUAAAAAGCAUCUAAAUUCCCUAUCCAUAGUUACUCUGUUCCUUGCUACUUACCUUAUGCUCAAGAUAGUUCUAGAGCAUAUUUUCACUUUCCAGUUCCCUCUACAAGUUGCUUCAUUUAUUCUACUUUUGAUAUUGCUUGCUUCUCCUCUAUAUGUUGCAAUUAGAGCCCAGCAGAGAGAAUCCAGAAAGAUUUUGCACCCUUCUGUUACUGAGAGUGAUCAGCUGAUUAGUCGCUCCAAUCAAGAGAGCGAGGAUUUCGACAAUGAACGGAGAAGGGAGUCUGAAGAAAGCCUGAACCUCUUUCAAGCUUUAUACACCAUAGACUUCUGGAUAUUAUUUUUUGCAACAGCUUGUGGCAUGGGAACAGGGUUAGCCACAGUGAAUAAUAUCAGCCAGAUAGGAUUAUCUCUUGGUUACACAAGCUUGGAGACAACUAUUUUGGUUUCCCUGUGGAGCAUCUGGAAUUUUUUUGGUCGUUUAGGAGCUGGAUAUGUAUCGGAUUAUUUUCUCCAUGCCAAAGGGUGGGCUAGGCCAUUAUUCAUGUUCAUCACUCUGGCAACCAUGAGCAUUGGACAUGUAGUGAUUGCCUCUGGUCUGCCUGGUGCUCUUUUCGCUGGUUCGGUGCUAGUGGGUGUUUGUUAUGGGUCUCAAUGGUCAUUAAUGCCAACAAUUACCUCUGAAAUAUUUGGUGUUGUACACAUGGGUACUAUAUUCAAUGCCAUUACAAUAGCAAGCCCUGUUGGAUCUUAUAUAUUUUCAGUUAGAGUUAUUGGGUAUAUGUAUGACAAAGAAGCAUCAGGUGAAGGAGGUACUUGUACUGGAACUUACUGCUUCAUGUUAUCAUUUCUGAUUAUGGCUUUUGCCACCCUUUUGGGCUCUUUGGCAGCCCUUGGCUUAUUUUUCCGGAGAAGAAGUUUCUACGAUCAAGUUGUUUUUAGAAGGCUGCAACACUCAUCGAGUGGAUAAAGGAGUAAAUACUACAUACGACAUACAAAGUGAAAUAUGGAGGUUUUCCUGGUCACUGCUAAUAAGGAGUUCCAAUUCACUUCUACCUGUUUGCCUUUUUUCGGCUGAGAACGGGGCGGUCGAGCUAUUGUUCCACUGGUAAACUUAUGGAAUGAUGCAUUGUAGAUUCUAGUAUUUUUGUUUUGGUAUUCUGAAAUGUUAGUUUCUUCUUCCUCUUGUUAUCUCCUUUUCUCCUUUUGUUGUGUCAUGGGCGUCUUUCUAUUUUCUUCCUGAUGUCUAUUUUUAGCAACUUUUUAUCUAAGUAAGUUUAUAAUCUAUUAUUUGAUAUUUAGUAAUAUAUGUCGCAAUACAUAUCACACAUAAGCAUAACCUAUUAGCCUAUGUGCUUCGUGUCACAACCAUACUAUGAAGAGAGUAGGUUGUGACAUGACGACCGCGACACUUCACACCUUAAAAAGAGUAAAAGAAGGUUUUCUUGAAUGUAUUCUUUUGAACAUUACUCAAGUAAGUAACCAUUUAACCAUUUAUGUUACCACCCUUUUUAUGAAGUCAUUGUAGCAUCUCGAAUUCUUCAGGUCCCAGCAUUCGUCCGAGUCAGAGGACUCCUAUCUUGAAAGCAGAAUCAAAAUUGUCUCUGCUAACAUCUGCAGUGCCCGCCCGUCCUACACAUAUGCUGUCGUGAAGCAAGAACCAGCCAGAAUGGAUGACUCUUACCUGGCUUUCUGGAUGACAAGAAAUCCCCUAGCUCACUUGAUUGGGGACAGAGUCAGUGUUCAUCAAGUGCAAGAGAGAGGAGCUUCAAUCUUCUAGGAUUCGAUCGACCGUGUUACUGUUGCUUUCGUAGUUGGAAGCCUACCAUUUAUUCAUUGAGUUGAAAAAGAAGAAAAGAAGCUUAAGCUAUGGCAGUAAGAAGCUGUAAUUUGAGGGGAGGACAUAAAUAUCUGCAGAUCUUGUUUGCUGCUCGGCUUGUUCUUCGAGUCUCGCUUCUUCCUUCCUCUCUUACCCCGAUCUACCGACCAAUGUAAAUAGUUGGCAGCUCUACUGCCUGAUAACGUGAAGAAGUGGGCAUCAAAUAAAUGUGUUGAUCAUGUAUAGGAAUAUGAAAUCUGCACCAGGUGAUGGGCAAAUGAAGCAACAGUUUACAAAAGUUGUUUGCCACA